This 64-nucleotide transfer RNA is filed under the name Sphingomonas sp. Root241. It matches the Rfam family "tRNA". From Rfam's summary of the family: Transfer RNA (tRNA) molecules are approximately 80 nucleotides in length. The record is from Rfam by way of RNAcentral. Lineage: Bacteria; Pseudomonadati; Pseudomonadota; Alphaproteobacteria; Sphingomonadales; Sphingomonadaceae.
GGGCGCUUAGCUCAGUUGGUAGAGCAUCUCGUUUACACCGAGAGGGUCCGCUUACCAGCGGUCU